RNAcentral lists this ribosomal RNA (497 nucleotides) under uncultured bacterium. Its description in RNAcentral is "partial 16S ribosomal RNA". It matches the Rfam family "Bacterial small subunit ribosomal RNA", at positions 28 to 507 of the family's 1533-position model. The record is from RNAcentral.
GAUGAACGCUGGCGGCGUGCCUAAUACAUGCAAGUCGAGCGAACGGACGAGCAGCGUGCUUUUCUGAUGUUAGCGGCGGACGGGUGAGUAACACGUGGAUAACCUACCUAUAAGACUGGGAUAACUUCGGGAAACCGGAGCUAAUACCGGAUAAUAUUUUGAACCGCAUGGUUCAAAAGUGAAAGAGGGUCUUGCUGUCACUUAUAGAUGGAUCCGCGCUGCAUUAGCUAGUUGGUAAGGUAACGGCUUACCAAGGCAACGAUGCAUAGCCGACCUGAGAGGGUGAUCGGCCACACUGGAACUGAGACACGGUCCAGACUCCUACGGGAGGCAGCAGUAGGGAAUCUUCCGCAAUGGGCGAAAGCCUGACGGAGCAACGCCGCGUGAGUGAUGAAGGUCUUCGGAUCGUAAAACUCUGUUAUUAGGGAAGAACAUAUGUGUAAGUAACUGUGCACAUCUUGACGGUACCUAAUCAGAAAGCCACGGCUAACUACGUG